UACGUAGGGUGCGAGCGUUAAUCGGAAUUACUGGGCGUAAAGCGUGCGCAGGCGGUUUUGUAAGCCAGGUGUGAAAUCCCCGGGCUUAACCUGGGAAUGGCAUUUGGGACUGCAAGGCUGGAGUGUGGCAGAGGAGACUGGAAUUCCUGGUGUAGCAGUGAAAUGCGUAGAUAUCAGGAGGAACACCGAUGGCGAAGGCAGGUCUCUGGGCUGACACUGACGCUCAUGCACGAAAGCGUGGGGAGCAAACAGG
This 253-nucleotide ribosomal RNA is filed under the name uncultured bacterium. RNAcentral's name for it is "partial 16S ribosomal RNA". It matches the Rfam family "Bacterial small subunit ribosomal RNA", at positions 524 to 776 of the family's 1533-position model. The record is from RNAcentral.